Molecule: ribosomal RNA, 389 nt
Filed under: uncultured bacterium
Lineage: Bacteria
Description: bacterial SSU rRNA
Rfam family: Bacterial small subunit ribosomal RNA
Source: RNAcentral
AUUGAACGCUGGCGGCAUGCCUUACACAUGCAAGUCGAACGGCAGCACGGGAGCAAUCCUGGUGGCGAGUGGCGAACGGGUGAGUAAAGUAUCGGAACGUGCCCAGUCGUGGGGGAUAACGUAGCGAAAGUUACGCUAAUACCGCAUACGAUCUAUGGAUGAAAGCGGGGGAUCGCAAGACCUCGCGCGAUUGGAGCGGCCGAUAUCAGAUUAGGUAGUUGGUGGGGUAAAGGCUCACCAAGCCAACGAUCUGUAGCUGGUCUGAGAGGACGACCAGCCACACUGGGACUGAGACACGGCCCAGACUCCUACGGGAGGCAGCAGUGGGGAAUUUUGGACAAUGGGCGCAAGCCUGAUCCAGCAAUGCCGCGUGCAGGAAGAAGGCCUUC